This 203-nucleotide small RNA is filed under the name Sinorhizobium meliloti 2011. RNAcentral describes it as "putative ncRNA". The record is from RNAcentral. Lineage: Bacteria; Pseudomonadati; Pseudomonadota; Alphaproteobacteria; Hyphomicrobiales; Rhizobiaceae.
AAGGAUAGGAAUUUUAUCCUCUUCCGGCUUCAGCAGCGUGACUUGUGAGAUUUCGGAGUACCCGCCGCGGCUUGUUUGAUCUCCUCAUCACUGUGCUCGUCAUAGGAUCCAGCGAGACCAAGUCCUUGGGCUGGAAGAACUCUUCCCGCGCCGCAGACGCGGCGCUGCUGGAUCUCUGUGACAAGCACAGAGAUGAGGGAUUG